CCUACGGGAGGCAGCAGUGAGGAAUAUUGGUCAAUGGGCGCUAGCCUGAACCAGCCAAGUAGCGUGAAGGAUGACUGCCCUAUGGGUUGUAAACUUCUUUUAUAUGGGAAUAAAGUGCAGUAUGUAUACUGCUUUGCAUGUACCUUAUGAAUAAGGAUCGGCUAACUCCGUGCCAGCAGCCGCGGUAAUACGGAGGAUCCGAGCGUUAUCCGGAUUUCUUGGGUUUAAAGGAAGCGUAGGCGGGUUGUUAAGUCAGUUGUGAAAGUUUGCGGCUCAACCGUAAAAUUGCAGUUGAUACUGGCAUCCUCGAGUACAGUAGAGGUAGGCGGAAUUCGUGGUGUAGCGGUGAAAUGCUUAGAUAUCACGAAGAACUCCGAUUGCGAAGGCAGCCUGCUGGACUGUAACUGACGCUGAUGCUCGAAAGUGUGGGUAUCAAACAGGAUUAGAUACCCCAGUAGUC
RNAcentral lists this ribosomal RNA (460 nucleotides) under uncultured bacterium. Its description in RNAcentral is "partial 16S ribosomal RNA". It matches the Rfam family "Bacterial small subunit ribosomal RNA", at positions 338 to 795 of the family's 1533-position model. The record is from RNAcentral.